AUUAGUGUUAUAAUAUAUAAUGUAUAUACUAAUGCAACUGCGAAUAGCUGUUUAAUACAGUCGUAAUUGUAUUGACUUAGUAUAAUGUUAAUAAUAGUUAUUUAUAGGAUAACUAAGGGAAAGUUUGGCUAAUACGUUUUAACAGUAUUAUAAUUCUUAAUACACAUAUAAUAAUAUUAUAAUAUGAUAAAUAUUAUAUAAAUAUUUUAAUACAUUUAUUUGUAUUAAUAUAUAGAGUUGACUUUAUAAUAUUUAUUUAUUAUAAAGCAUGUCAAACAAGCAUCUAUAGCAUCAAGUCACAAUGUUGGCAUGUGUAUUAUUGAACCUUCAAAGCAUUUACGCAUUCGGAGGAGUAGUUUCUGAUCCCGUCGAAGGUGCCUGAGAGACGGCACUUAGUUCUAAGGAACGCAGCAGGCGCGUAAAUUGCCCAAUGACAAAACAUGUUAUAAUAAAAUAUAUAAUGUAUAUAUAUUGAAUACUCAAUAUUUAAUUGAGGCAGUGACAAGCUGUAAAGAUUGAAUAUAUUAAUUAAGAUAACAUUUGGAAUUGUCGUUUUAUAAUAUUUUUUAAUAUUAUAUUACUUGAUAAUAUACCARUGUUAUAAAAUAUUCAAUUUGARUGCGGUGARUGUAAUAAUUUCAAGUAACAUGUAUAAAAUAUUUAUAUUUUAUUAGUUAUCUGAAUUUUCAAGUGGAGGGCAAGUCUGGUGCCAGCAGCCGCGGUAAUACCAGCUCCACUAGCUUAUACAAUCAUUGUUGCGGUUAAGAGGCUCGUAGUUGGAUUGAAUAAAACAUAUAUACACAAUACUGUGAACAAACCAGAGUGUAUAAAACAUGUAAUAUAUUAUAUAUUUAGCAAUGAAUGUUUUAUCAUGGAAUAUUGCUAUAAUGAAUAUUAAUAUCGAUGGAGAUAGUUGGAGUUAAGAGUACUGAUAGGCGAGCGGUGAAAUGCAUUGACCCUAUUAAGACUAACAAAAGCGAAAGCACUUAACUAGAUUAUUCUCUUUGUAUUAUUUUACAAUGAAGAGCGAAGGUUGGGGGAACAAAGAGGAUCAGAUACCCUCGUAGUCCUAUUUUUACAUCAAACUAUGGGAUUUCAUUCACACUAAACACUAAACAUUAUAAUUAUAAUUAUGAUUGAGUAUAUGUCAAAAUAUUACUCUCAUAUUAAAUAAUUAUUAUAUAUAUGAUUAUAUGUACUUUGAGCUCAUAUAAUUAUAUAGGUGAGAUGUAAGCAUUAUAAAGUGAAUAAUAUACAAGUAAUAUUGUAUUAUUAUGAUCUUUAAAAUAAAAAAUGUAAUGUGAUGCACGUUUUAGGUACGAGCUUACUAUAGAAAUAUUUAAAAUAAUACCCUCCUGGGGUAGUAUGCACGNNNNNNNNAAACUUGAAGGAAUUGACGGAAGGGCACCACAAGAACGCGUGGAGCAUGUGGCUUAAUUUGACUCAACCCGGGAAAUCUUACCAGGUCCAGACAUAUUGAGGAUUGACAGGCGAUAGUAUAUAAUUCAUUUAUAUGCAUAAAAAUGAUAGUCCUUUCAUGAUUAUAUGAUAGGUGGUGCAUGGCCGUUCUUAGUUCGUGGAGUGAUUUGUCUGCUUAAUUGCGUUUCAGUAAAUAAAAUAUAUAAUAUAUUAUAAUAUUUAGUUCUGCCUUGAAUAUUAUUCAAGGAUUUAAAGUGAACAUAUUAUAUAUAUUAUUAUAUAAUAAAUGAAUGCAA
Molecule: ribosomal RNA, 1715 nt
Filed under: Marginopora vertebralis
Lineage: Eukaryota; Foraminifera; Miliolida; Soritidae
Description: SSU rRNA
Rfam family: Eukaryotic small subunit ribosomal RNA
Source: RNAcentral